AUAAGUUAUGUAAGGGCGUAUGGGGGAUGCCUAGGCUCUCAGAGGCGAAGAAGGACGUGAUAAGCUGCGAAAAGUUGCGGGAAUUGGCACAUACGAAUUGAUCCGCAAAUAUCCGAAUGGGGCAACCCAGUAUACUGAAGGUAUACUACAUCGCAAGAUGAGCAAACCCGCUGAACUGAAACAUCUAAGUAGGCGGAGGAGAAGAAAACAAAAGUGAUUCCCAGAGUAGUGGCGAGCGAAAUGGGAGGAGCCCAAACCUGUAUUGUUUCGGCAAUGCAGGGGUUGUAGGACUGCGAUAUUUGCUGUUUAUCGAAUUAGAACACCUUGGAAAAGUGUGACCAUAGAGGGUGAUAGUCCCGUAUAGGUAAGAUAAAUAAGUGAUAGCAGUAUCCUGAGUAGGGCGGGGCACGUGGAACCCUGUCUGAAACUGCCAGGACCAUCUGGUAAGGCUAAAUACUCCUGAGAGACCGAUAGUGGACUAGUACCGUGAGGGAAAGGUGAAAAGCACCGUGAAUAACGGAGUGAAAGAGACCCUGAAACCAUACGCUUACAAGCGGUCGGAGCGGAGAGAUCCGUGACGGCGUGCCUUUUGCAUAAUGAGCCUACGAGUUACUGUUACUGGCAAGGAUAAGCACUUAAGGUGCGCAUUCGAAGCGAAAGCGAGUCUGAAUAGGGCGCUUAAGUCAGUAGGAGUAGACGCGAAACCUGGUGAUCUACCCUUGGGCAGGUUGAAGCACUGGUAACACAGUGUGGAGGACCGAACUGGUUGUCGUUGAAAAGACUUCGGAUGACCUGAGGGUAGGGGUGAAAGGCCAAUCAAACUGGGAAAUAGCUCGUACUCCCCGAAAUGCAUUUAGGUGCAGCGUUGUAAUAAAGUUUAAUAGAGGUAGAGCUACUGAUUGGAUGCGGGGGUUUCACCGCCUACCAAUUCCUGACAAACUCCGAAUGCUAUUAAAUGUUUUACAGCAGUGAGGGCUUGGGUGCUAAGGUCCAAGUCCGAGAGGGAAAGAACCCGGACCAUCAGCUAAGGUCCCCAAAUAUAUGCUAAGUUGAAAAAACGCGGUUGAACUGCAUGGACAGCUAGGAUGUUGGCUUGGAAGCAGCCAUACAUUUAAAGAGUGCGUAACAGCUCACUAGUCGAGCGGUUCGGCAUGGAGAAUAAACGGGCAUAAGCAUAUUACCGAAGCUAUGGGGUAGAGAUACCGGUAGGGGAGCAUUCUAUAGGCGUUGAAGCUAAAGGCGUGAGCCAUAGUGGAGCUUGAUAGAAAAGAAAAUGUAGGCAUAAGUAACGAUAAGGCAGGUGAGAAACCUGCCCGCCGAAAGAUCAAGGUUUCCUCAGCUAUGCUAAUCAGCUGAGGGUUAGUCGGGGACUAACGCGUACCCUUUCAGGGGAAGUGGAUGUACAACUGGUUAAUAUUCCAGUACUAGUAUUUCAAUAAAAGCGACGGAAUGAGAUAUACGCUGCGCACAGACGGAGUUGCGUUGAAGGAGUUGUUAUGGCUUUGAUAGUACACUUAGGCUACGGUCGAGGUGAUAAUGCGUAGACAACGUUUCCAAGAAAAGCGAGAGAUACUACCCGUACCGUAAACCGACACAGGUGAUUGGGAAGAGAAUUCUAAGGCGCUCGAGAGAUUCAUGGCUAAGGAACUAGGCAAAAUAGACCUGUAACUUCGGGAGAAAGGUCGCCUAUCUAGCGAUAGGCCGCAGUGAAAAGGUCCAAGCGACUGUUUAUCAAAAACACAGGACUCUGCAAAAUCGAAAGAUGAAGUAUAGGGUCUGACACCUGCCCGGUGCUGGAAGGUUAAGAGGAGAGCUUAGCGUAAGCGAAGGUUUGAAUUGAAGCCCCAGUAAACGGCGGCCGUAACUAUAACGGUCCUAAGGUAGCGAAAUUCCUUGUCGGGUAAGUUCCGACCUGCACGAAUGGUGUAACGAUUUGGACACUGUCUCGGCCAUGAGCUCGGUGAAAUUGUAGUAUCGGUGAAGAUGCCGAUUACCCGCAGUGGGACGAAAAGACCCUGUGCACCUUUACUAUAUCUUCGUAUUGACCUUGGAUAAGUGAUGCGUAGGAUAGGUGGGAGACAUUGAUUGGGGCAUUCCGGUGCUUCAGGAGUCGUUGUUGAAAUACCACCCUUUGCUUAUCUGAGGCCUAACUCUCCUGUAGGGAGAGGACAAUUCGUGGAGGGUAGUUUGACUGGGGUGGUCGCCUCCAAAAGAGUAACGGAGGCUUCUAAAGGUUCCCUCAGCACGCUUGGUAACCGUGCGUAGAGUG
This 2269-nucleotide ribosomal RNA is filed under the name human oral metagenome. Its description in RNAcentral is "bacterial LSU rRNA". It matches the Rfam family "Bacterial large subunit ribosomal RNA", at positions 1 to 2351 of the family's 2925-position model. The record is from RNAcentral.